This 88-nucleotide transfer RNA is filed under the name Desulfobacterales bacterium S5133MH16. Its description in RNAcentral is "tRNA-Ser". It matches the Rfam family "tRNA". Rfam says of the family: Transfer RNA (tRNA) molecules are approximately 80 nucleotides in length. Their secondary structure includes four short double-helical elements and three loops (D, anti-codon, and T loops). Further hydrogen bonds mediate the characteristic L-shaped molecular structure. tRNAs have two regions of fundamental functional importance: the anti-codon, which is responsible for specific mRNA codon recognition, and the 3' end, to which the tRNAs corresponding amino acid is attached (by aminoacyl-tRNA synthetases). tRNAs cope with the degeneracy of the genetic code in two manners: having more than one tRNA (with a specific anti-codon) for a particular amino acid; and 'wobble' base-pairing, i.e. permitting non-standard base-pairing at the 3rd anti-codon position. Lineage: Bacteria; Pseudomonadati; Thermodesulfobacteriota; Desulfobacteria; Desulfobacterales. RNAcentral also lists the same sequence under 11 other names. The record is from RNAcentral.
GGAGGGAUGGCUGAGUGGUCGAAAGCGGCGGUCUUGAAAACCGUUGAGUGUAACAGCUCCGUGGGUUCGAAUCCUACUCCCUCCGCCA